GAGAUGGGUGCCCCUUGUGGUCGGUGGACAGGUGGUGCAUGGUUGUCGUCAGCUCGUGUCGUGAGAUGUUGGGUUAAGUCCCGCAACGAGCGCAACCCUCGUCCUAUGUUGCCAGCGGGUCAUGCCGGGGACUCAUGGGAGACUGCCGGGGUCAACUCGGAGGAAGGUGGGGAUGACGUCAAAUCAUCCUGCCCCUUAUGACCUGGGCUACACACGUGCUACAAUGGUUGGUACAACGAGUUGCGAGUCGGUGACGGCGAGCUAAUCUCUUAAAGCCAAUCUCAGUUCGGAUUGUAGGCUGCAACUCGCCUACAUGAAGUCGGAAUCGCUAGUAAUCGCGGAUCAGCACGCCGCGGUGAAUACGUUCCCGGGCCUU
RNAcentral lists this ribosomal RNA (376 nucleotides) under uncultured Lachnospiraceae bacterium. RNAcentral's name for it is "bacterial SSU rRNA". It matches the Rfam family "Bacterial small subunit ribosomal RNA", at positions 1003 to 1382 of the family's 1533-position model. Lineage: Bacteria; Bacillati; Bacillota; Clostridia; Lachnospirales; Lachnospiraceae. The record is from RNAcentral.